This 225-nucleotide ribosomal RNA is filed under the name uncultured Actinomyces sp. Its description in RNAcentral is "partial 16S ribosomal RNA". It matches the Rfam family "Bacterial small subunit ribosomal RNA", at positions 245 to 467 of the family's 1533-position model. Lineage: Bacteria; Bacillati; Actinomycetota; Actinomycetes; Actinomycetales; Actinomycetaceae. The record is from RNAcentral.
CUUGUUGGUGGGUGAUGGCCUACCAAGGCGGUGACGGGUAGCCGGCCUGAGAGGGUGGACGGUCACACUGGGACUGAGACACGGCCCAGACUCCUGCGGGAGGCAGCAGUGGGGGAUUUUGCACAAUGGGCGCAAGCCUGAUGCAGCGACGCCGCGUGAGGGAUGGAGGCCUUCGGGUUGUGAACCUCUGUCGCCGGUGAUGUAGGCCAUCACCCCACCAACAAG